GAUCACAUUUAGGGUUUUCUUGUCAAAGAUCCUGGAGUGGUUUGAUAUCCCCUUUUCCAUCUUGAGUGAUGAGCAAACUGACUUGCCCAGGGUCAUGUAACUAGAAAACUGAAAAUGCAUCGCCUAUGUAUGAGUCACAAAACUGGUUUCAUCAACAUUCAAUCAUAUGAAGAUUUGGUGAUGAAAAAAAAUUAUAAAGAGAGAUUGAUUCUGGAGAUCCCUGCCUUGGUUUGGAGGAGACUUUUCCCCUGGAUUCAACAUCAGCUUGCUGCAUUGGUGGAAUUCUGGCUGAAGACACAACUAGAACUUCUGGUGGAAGAAUCACAAUUUAUACCUGGAGAAGAUGCACUGUGCUCUGCCUAUACUAUCUAGCUGAUGAAGUUAAUGGGAGUUUGGCUCACUGAGAAUGACAGACUUUUACCUGGGGGGUGGAAAGAAAAUCAAAUAUGACAAAAGUGGACAAUAGCAAUUAUUGGAAGAGAUGAGAGAGAGCAGAUACAGUAAAGCAUUGUUUGUUGACUUGUGAACAGGAACGGCCUCUCUAAAAAGCAAUUUGUAACUAAACCUCAAAAGUAACUAAUUUGUAUGUACUGUUUGAUUUGGUGAUACUACUACUAGAUCUGUAUUACAAAGAAAGAGAAAAUAUAUACAUAUUUCAUUUUCUUCAUAUUUAUACUUUUUGUUAUAG
Molecule: long non-coding RNA, 688 nt
Filed under: Monodelphis domestica (gray short-tailed opossum)
Lineage: Eukaryota; Metazoa; Chordata; Mammalia; Didelphimorphia; Didelphidae
Description: lncRNA (ENSMODG00000047788.1)
Source: RNAcentral